Chelonia mydas (Green sea turtle) is the source of this 2972-nucleotide long non-coding RNA. RefSeq lists it as uncharacterized. The record is from RefSeq and is a predicted model, not a curated record. The transcript is spliced from 2 exons. Lineage: Eukaryota; Metazoa; Chordata; Testudines; Cheloniidae.
AGAUUCCAGCGCCAGAAGGGACCAUUGUGAUCAUCUAGCUUGACUUCCUGUGUAACACAGACCACAGAACCUCCCCCAAAUCAUUCCUAGAGCAAAUCUUUUUGAAAAACACCCUAUCUUGACUUAAAAAAUGGAGAAUCCAUCACUGCCCAUGAGUUCUAUUUUUGUCCAUGUUCCUAUUCUGGAGGCAGUGCUGCCAGGAGGAAUUAAUAUUUAUCUUAUUCUCAACUAAAACUUAAGAUGAGCGUGUGCCUGACAGCCAGGCCAUGGAUCACAACAUGAUUAUGCAUGAACUACAAUACAUUUAUCUCAUCAUCUUGGCGGUCUGAAGUGCUACAUGUGAACCACGUGGACCAAACUUACAUUUUUCAUUCCCAUUCAAAAGUAAAGCCAAACUGACAAUGGAUUACACAGGCCCUGUCUUCCCACAGUCCACAUGCAGAUCUUCCUCUGCUGCAAAGAAGUGCCGCCUUUGUAGCACAGUCACCUUAGAUUCCAUGAGGAAAGGGAGAGGAGAGAACAGGGAAGCAGGGAGAAGCAGCGAGUAUGGAAUCACUGAACAUGUAGGACUAUAUUAGGUUUGCUGCAGAGUCUUCUCCACACUGUGGAACCUCCACUUUAAAAAAUUUCUAGGGCCAGGGAAUGGAGACUUGCUGCCAAGGAGCUCUGGGGUGGGCAAAGGACCCCAGAACCAGGCCAGGGCCUCUGUAAAGGUGGUUACCACCAUCAGGUACCUCAAAGCUGAAUGAAUCAAUAGAGGAGAAAGUCCCUAUUCCCUAACAGAAUGACCUAGAGAAAACUGCCUGAGCUGAACCCACUCCUCUCCCAAGCCUCCUUCCUGCUCCUGCUAUUUUUCUAUGGGAGGAGCCAGUCUGGGAUAUAGGACAAAUGCAGGACUGCAGUAGUGUGUGUGUGACUAGCUGCCUCUUCUUACCUACUGGGCCUAUUGCUUUCUGAGCAAGCUAGUGCUCCCCAAAGCAUGGACUAGUUACUUUUCCCUUGCAGAGUCCAAUAAAAUGUGACCCUGAUUUAAGAUGUCUUUGUCUUUCAGCAAUGGAGAGACUAAUGAUUUAACUGUCACUACCAAGCUUUGAAAGACAAGUGCUGAGAGCUAGGACACUGAGUGAAGGACAAAAAUACCUUAAUGAAAUGACAGUGCCGAUUUUAGUUUCAUACGGCUUUCAGUCACAUCUUGGGAAACGGACGGUGUUGUCAUCUAGACUCUUGUUCCGGGAUAGCUGAGGUUAGGACAGGAGGAGAGACACUGGAAAGUCUGAAGAAUGACAACAGUGAUGUGAAGAGAAAUCUAAAGAUAAUUAGAGGCAUUUAAGUUUAUAAAAUACCUGCACUUCUAAGAAGCCAUUGGAAGACAUCUGAUUCGUACUACUGACAAAUCAUUUUGUUGCUUAGUGACGGUUUUAAGUAACCCGAUGCAUUACUAAACAACACGUAAUUCAUUUAAAAGUAAGGGAUGGUACCCCCUCCAUACCCCUGCCACAGACACACACACAUUUAUAGUGUCAAAAAAAACAGAAGAUAUCUCUUUUAACUCCUUUGAGAGUUUGGCACUCCUGAAAGAGAAGGGCAAAUUGUGUUGGCAUCAGUCUGAUAAUCAGAUGCACUGCUCAGACUCCUGAAGUUUACCUUGCUGUUAAGAGAAGCCGCCACCUCACUAGGAAGAAAUUAAUUGGGACAGCAACAAUGAAGCAAGGUGACAUUUUAAAGAAUUUGUUUUAAUUAAACAAGUCUGCAACAGAAAGAAAGCUGGUUCUAAUCAGCUAGCAAAGAUCAAACAUCAGGAUAAUCACAAAGAACACCUCUCUCUUUAUUUUAAAUUAGUUGUGUGAAUUUAAUGCUAUUGAAAAUUGCCCAGUUGAUUGAAAGGACUGGAGUGCAGAUGUAAACUGGUUUCAGGGAAGUUCUGGCUCUGUCAUUCACCACCAAUGACUUUCACUGGUUUGCUAGGAAAACAUUGUUAAAUACACCUAGAAUGUUACUAUCCCCUCUGAUCAGCCAGGGAAAUGUUAUUUAAGUCUAGAUAACAGAGCUCCCUUUUUCCAGUGAUUGCAAAUUCUGAGGUUUUUGCGGUGGGUUACUUUCCUGUUGAAAGAGAUAGGUCGCACAGACACAGUAUUAUCUGAUCCUCUAUCUUUAUUCACAAAAUGUACUUAAAGCCUCUUUACCUUGAGCAAAGAUGCAAAACCAUCAGCACACCAGGCAGUCCACUGACAUAAAGUCCACCUAAGACACCACUGUGUCCAGCCCAUUUUCCCCAAUAUUAAAACUUGCCAAUGUGUGAAAUAAGCAAUAAAGAUUUAGGACAAAUGACCAACUUGCAAAGCACCUGUAUUUUGUGGGCAUCAUACCAUAACUGACAGAUUAUAAUUGUUUUUAAGGAAGCCGUAACCAAGUGAGAAAAAUCUGUUUUAUUUUUUAUGAAGAUAGUACAUGUCUCGGUGUGUGUUUAUGAUGGGUUAAUUACUAUGGAGUUAGAUCCAACGGGUAUGUUAAAGGAUCCAGGUACAAAAGUAGAACAAUGUCCUAGAUAAGGAGCAUCCCAACACACACUCAGACACAGUAACCAGAUUUACAGCUGCGAAAAGGCAACUCCUCAGCGCCAACCCUGGUACACAGCUGCUUUGCCAAGGCUGAGAAAAGAGACAUCAAAAGGAAGACAAAAACACUAGAGGAUCCCAGGACCUAGGCAAGGGGUGGGGGAUUGAGUGACCAGAGGCUGCCCAGCGAGUGUCAGUGAAAGCUGACAGGCUGCCAAGGGAAAUGCUGCAAGCAAGACAGUCUGCUUCUCCCAGCCAGAGAUGGGGGUUAGCUGGGCUGGGGGAAACUCACAAAACCUGGCAAGGAAUGAUUAUGGUGCAAGACAGAUGCAGGCAUAUUGGUCUGCUGUUAUUUUUACCCUUUUCUCUGUGUGCUUUGUACAUCUGGGGAAUGAAUAAAUAAUGCUUUGUUUUGAA